This 1211-nucleotide ribosomal RNA is filed under the name Kocuria sp. PLB024. RNAcentral's name for it is "bacterial SSU rRNA". It matches the Rfam family "Bacterial small subunit ribosomal RNA", at positions 154 to 1371 of the family's 1533-position model. The record is from RNAcentral. Lineage: Bacteria; Bacillati; Actinomycetota; Actinomycetes; Micrococcales; Micrococcaceae.
AAACUGGGUCUAAUACUGGAUAUGACCUCCUGUCGCAUGGUGGGGGGUGGAAAGGGUUUGUACUGGUUGUGGAUGGGCUCACGGCCUAUCAGCUUGUUGGUGGGGUAAUGGCCUACCAAGGCGACGACGGGUAGCCGGCCUGAGAGGGUGACCGGCCACACUGGGACUGAGACACGGCCCAGACUCCUACGGGAGGCAGCAGUGGGGAAUAUUGCACAAUGGGCGCAAGCCUGAUGCAGCGACGCCGCGUGAGGGAUGACGGCCUUCGGGUUGUAAACCUCUUUCAGCACGGAAGAAGCGAAAGUGACGGUACGUGCAGAAGAAGCGCCGGCUAACUACGUGCCAGCAGCCGCGGUAAUACGUAGGGCGCAAGCGUUGUCCGGAAUUAUUGGGCGUAAAGAGCUCGUAGGCGGUUUGUCGCGUCUGCUGUGAAAGCCCGGGGCUUAACCCCGGGUGUGCAGUGGGUACGGGCAGACUUGAGUGCAGUAGGGGAGACUGGAACUCCUGGUGUAGCGGUGAAAUGCGCAGAUAUCAGGAAGAACACCGAUGGCGAAGGCAGGUCUCUGGGCUGUUACUGACGCUGAGGAGCGAAAGCAUGGGGAGCGAACAGGAUUAGAUACCCUGGUAGUCCAUGCCGUAAACGUUGGGCACUAGGUGUGGGGGACAUUCCACGUUUUCCGCGCCGUAGCUAACGCAUUAAGUGCCCCGCCUGGGGAGUACGGCCGCAAGGCUAAAACUCAAAGGAAUUGACGGGGGCCCGCACAAGCGGCGGAGCAUGCGGAUUAAUUCGAUGCAACGCGAAGAACCUUACCAAGGCUUGACAUACACCGGAUCGGCUCAGAGAUGGGUUUUCCUCCUUGUGGGGCUGGUGUACAGGUGGUGCAUGGUUGUCGUCAGCUCGUGUCGUGAGAUGUUGGGUUAAGUCCCGCAACGAGCGCAACCCUCGUUCUAUGUUGCCAGCACGUGAUGGUGGGGACUCAUAGGAGACUGCCGGGGUCAACUCGGAGGAAGGUGGGGAUGACGUCAAAUCAUCAUGCCCCUUAUGUCUUGGGCUUCACGCAUGCUACAAUGGCCAGUACAAUGGGUUGCGAUACCGUGAGGUGGAGCUAAUCCCAAAAAGCUGGUCUCAGUUCGGAUCGUGGUCUGCAACUCGACCACGUGAAGUCGGAGUCGCUAGUAAUCGCAGAUCAGCAACGCUGCGGUGAAUACGU